GCUGGGUGUGGUGGCGCGCACCUGUGGUCCCAGCUACUCGAGAGGCUGAGGCAGGAGAAUCGCUUGAACCCAGGAGGUGGAGGUUUUAGUGAACUGAGAUCAGUUACUGCACUCCAGCCUGAGUGACAGAGCGAGACUCUGUCUCAA
Molecule: small RNA, 147 nt
Filed under: Macaca mulatta (Rhesus monkey)
Lineage: Eukaryota; Metazoa; Chordata; Mammalia; Primates; Cercopithecidae
Also listed under: 1 other name
Description: Metazoan signal recognition particle RNA (ENSMMUG00000057418.1)
Source: Rfam by way of RNAcentral